GAUGAACGCUGACAGAAUGCUUAACACAUGCAAGUCGACUUGAAGCAAUUUCGGUUGUGGAAAGUGGCGGACGGGUGAGUAACGCGUAAAGAACUUGCCCUUCAGUCUGGGACAACCAUUGGAAACGAUGGCUAAUACCGGAUAUUAUGGAACUCUCGCAUGGGAGGAUCAUGAAAGCUAUAUGCGCUGAAGGAGAGCUUUGCGUUCCAUUAGCUAGUUGGUGAGGUAACGGCUCACCAAGGCGACGAUGGAUAGCCGGCCUGAGAGGGUGAUCGGCCACAAGGGGACUGAGACACGGCCCUUACUCCUACGGGAGGCAGCAGUGGGGAAUAUUGGACAAUGGACCAAAAGUCUGAUCCAGCAAUUCUGUGUGCACGAUGAAGGUUUUCGGAUCGUAAAGUGCUUUCAGUUGGGAAGAAGAAAGUGACGGUACCAACAGAAGAAGCGACGGCUAAAUACGUGCCAGCAGCCGCGGUAAUACGUAUGUCGCAAGCGUUAUCCGGAUUUAUUGGGCGUAAAGCGCGUCUAGGCGGGUUCAUAAGUCUGAUGUUAAAAUGCGGGGCUCAACUCCGUAUUGCGUUGGAAACUGUGAACCUAGAGUAUCAGAGAGGUGGGCGGAACUACAAGUGUAGAGGUGAAAUUCGUAGAUAUUUGUAGGAAUGCCGAUGGAGAAGUCAGCUCACUGGAUGAAUACUGACGCUAAAGCGCGAAAGCGUGGGUAGCAAACAGG
RNAcentral lists this ribosomal RNA (730 nucleotides) under uncultured bacterium. RNAcentral's name for it is "bacterial SSU rRNA". It matches the Rfam family "Bacterial small subunit ribosomal RNA", at positions 28 to 776 of the family's 1533-position model. The record is from RNAcentral.